This 253-nucleotide ribosomal RNA is filed under the name uncultured bacterium. RNAcentral's name for it is "partial 16S ribosomal RNA". It matches the Rfam family "Bacterial small subunit ribosomal RNA", at positions 524 to 776 of the family's 1533-position model. The record is from RNAcentral.
UACGUAGGUGGCAAGCGUUGUCCGGAUUUACUGGGCGUAAAGAGCGCGCAGGCGGCUGGGCAAGUCCGAUGUGAAAGCUUCCGGCUUAACUGGAAAAUUGCAUCGGAAACUGCUCGGCUUGAAGGUGGGAGAGGGUAGCGGAAUUCCUGGUGUAGCGGUGAAAUGCGUAGAUAUCAGGAGGAACACCGGUGGUGUAGACGGCUUACUGGACCACGACUGACACUGAGGCACGAAAGCGUGGGUAGCAAACAGG